This 1690-nucleotide ribosomal RNA is filed under the name Deladenus siricidicola. Its description in RNAcentral is "SSU rRNA". It matches the Rfam family "Eukaryotic small subunit ribosomal RNA". Lineage: Eukaryota; Metazoa; Nematoda; Chromadorea; Rhabditida; Sphaerulariidae. The record is from RNAcentral.
AACGAUUUUAUCGUGAAACCGCGAACGGCUCAUUAAACCAGCUAUAAUCUACUUGAUCUUGACAUAUAUCUACUUGGAUAACUGUGGUAAUUCUAGAGCUAAUACAUGCACAAAUUCUCUGACCUUGCGGGAAGAGCGCAUUUAUUAGAGCAAAACCAGGCGGCUUCGGUCGUUUUUGCUGACUCAGAAUAACUCAGCUGAUCGCACGGUCCUUGUACCGGCGACGUGUCUUUUGAGUAUCUGCCUUAUCAAUUUUCGAUGGUAGUGUAUCUGACUACCAUGGUUUUGACGGGUAACGGAGAAUCAGGGUUCGACUCCGGAGAAGGGGCCUGAGAAAUGGCCACUACGUCUAAGGAUGGCAGCAGGCGCGCAAAUUACCCACUCUCGGAAUGAGGAGGUAGUGACGAGAAAUAACGAGACCGUUCUCUUUGAGGCCGGUUAUCGGAAUGGGUACAAUUUAAACCCCUUAAACGAGUAUCUAUGAGAGGGCAAGGUCUGGUGCCACCAGCCGCGGGUAAUUCCCGCCUCUCAAAAUGCAUAAGACCCAUGGGCUGCGGUUAAAAAGCUCGUAGUUGAAUCUAUGCCUGAGGCUUGGUCCACUCUUUGAGUGCGUACUAGGUUCUUUGGCUUUUCGUCGGUUUUCUUGUCGUGGCCUUUAUUGGUGGCGGCAAGUGGCUGACAAUUUUACUUUGAACAAAUCAGAGUGCUUAAAACCGGCGUCUCGCUUGUAUGCUUUUGCAUAGAAUAAUGGAACACGACUUCGGUCUAGUUUUAUUGGUUUUAUAGAUCGUUGUAAUGAUUAAAAGAGACAAACGGGGGCAUUCGUAUUGUUGCGUGAGAGGUGAAAUUCUUGCGACCGCAGCAAGACGACCUACAGCGAAAGCAUUUGCCAAGCUUGUCUUCAUUAAUCAAGAACGAAAGUCAGAGGAUCGAAGGUGAUCAGAUACCGCCCUAGUUCUGACCGUAAACGAUGCCAACUAGCGAUUCGCCGGCGGAUUAUUUGCCCUGGCGAGGAGCUUCCCGGAAACGAAAGUCUUCCGGUUCCGGGGGAAGUAUGGUUGCAAAGCUGAAACUUAAAGGAAUUGACGGAAGGGCACCACCAGGAGUGGAGCCUGCGGCUUAAUUUGACUCAACACGGGAAAACUCACCCGGCCCGGACACUAUAAGGAUUGACAGAUUGAUAGCUCUUUCAUGAUUUGGUGGAUGGUGGUGCAUGGCCGUUCUUAGUUCGUGGAGUGAUUUGUCUGGUUUAUUCCGAUAACGAGCGAGACUCUAGCCUACUAAAUAGUCUGCUCAUUGCUAUUGUGUGGCAGUACUUCCUAGAGGAAUUUUCGGUGUUUAACCGCAUGAAAUUGAGCAAUAACAGGUCUGUGAUGCCCUUAGAUGUCCGGGGCUGCACGCGCGCUACACUGGUAAAGUCAGCGUGCGUCUCCUUUCUCGAAAGAGAUUGGUAAACCAGUGAACGUUUGCCGUGAUAGGGAUAGGAAAUUGCAAUUAUUUUCUGUGAACGAGGAAUUCCAAGUAAAUGUGAGUCAUCAACUCGCGUUGAUUACGUCCCUGCCCUUUGUACACACCGCCCGUCGCUGCCCGGGACUGAGCCAUUUCGAGAAAAUUGGGGAUUGCUGACUGACGGUUCUUCGGGAUUGUCUUUUGGUGAAAACCAGCUUAAUCGUAGUGGCUUGAACCGGGC